AUUGUCGAAGCCACAUACAAACAGAGUGACCCGUGAACAUGUUGUUUCUACUUACGGUUGGAUUGGGGUGUUCAACACCACGACCUCCCUUUUGCUAGGAGAUUUUCACCUGGCUGAACAUAAACCUCGGCGCUGAAUGCGUCAAGGAACUGAAUCUUGUCUCGUGCGCCCUUGUUGACCCAAAUAUGGUGUUCUGUGGGUUGUAUUGUGGCAUUGCUAAGCAUAAAAUGACUCUCGGCAACGGAUAUCUCGGCUCUUGCAUCGAUGAAGAACGUAGCGAAAUGCGAUACUUGGUGUGAAUUGCAGAAUCCCGUGAACCAUCGAGUCUUUGAACGCAAGUUGCGCCCGAAGCCAUUAGGUUGAGGGCACGCCUGCUUGGGUGUCACACAAUGUUACCCCAAUGCCAAUGCAGUACUCAAACUAUUUGUGCAGCGGGGUAAUUGUUGGCUUCCCGUGAGCGUUGUCUUGCGGUUAGUUAAAAAUCGAGUCCGUUAUGGAGUGUACCGUGACAGAUGGUGGUUGAGUGAAGCUCGAGACCAAUUGUGUCUCUCCAUUAUAUUCGGAUUCUAGUGGCCCAAUGUGUGUUUGUCUAGGCACACCAUAAUGAGACCUCAAGUCAGGCGGGGCUACCCGCUGAGUUU
Molecule: ribosomal RNA, 641 nt
Filed under: Daviesia acicularis
Lineage: Eukaryota; Viridiplantae; Streptophyta; Magnoliopsida; Fabales; Fabaceae
Description: eukaryotic LSU rRNA
Rfam family: 5.8S ribosomal RNA (bases 230-385)
Source: RNAcentral